This 379-nucleotide ribosomal RNA is filed under the name uncultured bacterium. RNAcentral's name for it is "bacterial SSU rRNA". It matches the Rfam family "Bacterial small subunit ribosomal RNA", at positions 521 to 898 of the family's 1533-position model. The record is from RNAcentral.
UAAUACGUAGGGUCCGAGCGUUGUCCGGAAUUAUUGGGCGUAAAGAGCUCGUAGGCGGCGUGUCACGUCUGCUGUGAAAGACCGGGGCUUAACUCCGGUUCUGCAGUGGAUACGGGCAUGCUAGAGGUAGGUAGGGGAGACUGGAAUUCCUGGUGUAGCGGUGAAAUGCGCAGAUAUCAGGAGGAACACCGGUGGCGAAGGCGGGUCUCUGGGCCUUACCUGACGCUGAGGAGCGAAAGCAUGGGGAGCGAACAGGAUUAGAUACCCUGGUAGUCCAUGCCGUAAACGUUGGGCGCUAGGUGUGGGGACUUUCCACGGUUUCCGCGCCGUAGCUAACGCAUUAAGCGCCCCGCCUGGGGAGUACGGCCGCAAGGCUAAA